RNAcentral lists this transfer RNA (60 nucleotides) under Loxodonta africana (African savanna elephant). It matches the Rfam family "tRNA", at positions 14 to 71 of the family's 71-position model. Rfam says of the family: Transfer RNA (tRNA) molecules are approximately 80 nucleotides in length. Their secondary structure includes four short double-helical elements and three loops (D, anti-codon, and T loops). Lineage: Eukaryota; Metazoa; Chordata; Mammalia; Proboscidea; Elephantidae. The record is from Rfam by way of RNAcentral.
AGCGGUUAAGCGGUUCAGCUGCUAACUGAAAAGUUGGUGGUUCAUACCCACCAGCCGCUU